This 513-nucleotide ribosomal RNA is filed under the name uncultured bacterium. RNAcentral describes it as "partial 16S ribosomal RNA". It matches the Rfam family "Bacterial small subunit ribosomal RNA", at positions 28 to 523 of the family's 1533-position model. The record is from RNAcentral.
GACGAACGCUGGCGGCGUGCCUAAUACACGCAAGUCGAGCGGACUUUCAAGAAGCUUGCUUUUUGAAAGUUAGCGGCGGACGGGUGAGUAACACGUGGGCAACCUGCCUGUAAGACGGGGAUAACUCCGGGAAACCGGGGCUAAUACCGGAUAAUAUCUUUCUUCGCAUGGUUCAAUAGUGAAAGACGGUUUUGCUGUCAUCUAUAGAUGGAUCCGCGCCGCAUUAGCUAGUUGGUAAGGUAACGGCUUACCAAGGCAACGAUGCGUAGCCGACCUGAGAGGGUGAUCGGCCACACUGGAACUGAGACACGGUCCAGACUCCUACGGGAGGCAGCAGUAGGGAAUCUUCCGCAAUGGGCGAAAGCCUGACGGAGCAACGCCGCGUGAGUGAUGAAGGUCUUCGGAUCGUAAAACUCUGUUAUUAGGGAAGAACAAAUGUGUAAGUAACUAUGCACGUCUUGACGGUACCUAAUCAGAAAGCCACGGCUAACUACGUGCCAGCCGCCGCGGUAA